UCGACAGGAAGAAUCUGGCACAGUUGCUUUUCAACUUCGCCCCUGUCAGUUCUGUAGUGGUAAUGUUUGCACUGUUAAACAAUUGACAAUGCCUGUGGAGAGCCUGCCAGUCCGGGAUUUGUCUAUUCAUGUCCGUUUACUACAGCAGUAUGUGGUUCUUCUGAAGAAAUACCCCAUCCUCACUAAAUCUGUAACGAGUGGCAUCCUCUCAGCUUUAGGGAAUCUUCUGUCUCAGAUUGUGGAGGCAAGAAAAAAGGCCAAAAAUGGAGUCCCGGUCAAUGAGAUUGACGCAGCUGGAGCUACACGCUAUGCCAUUUAUGGGUUGUUUAUUACAGGACCGGUGAGCCAUUACUUUUACCAGCUGAUGGAAGUGUGGAUGCCCAGCACAGACCCGUACUGUAUAGUCAAACGUCUGCUGCUGGAUCGGCUUGUUUUUGCCCCUGGCUUUCUGCUCCUCUUCUACUUUGUUAUGAACAUCCUGGAGGCCAAAGGGUGGGGAGACUUUGAGAAGAAGAUGAAAGGAAGUUACUGGACUGCUUUAAAGAUGAAUUGGAAAGUUUGGACCCCCUUCCAGUUCAUCAAUAUCAUCUUUGUGCCUGUUCAGUUCCGAGUGCUGUUUGCCAACAUGAUCGCCUUAUUUUGGUACGCCUACCUUGCAUCUGUGAGGAAAUGAAGCUUCCCUAAAUGUACUCACAGAAAACGGCUUCUUCACAGUGGCUUUAACAUUAGGGUGUUUACUGUACUACUACUAUAUACCUGUUCCUAAUCUGGGCAAUAAUUCUCACAUACAGUAGCUCUUCUAAUUAACUCCUAACAAACCUGUAAAAUGAGUUCAAGCCAUUAUAACAUGCUGCUAUGAUAUUUUGGAUACAUUACUGUAUUUGUAAUAAGCGAACAUAAUAAAUGCAUUAUCUACAGAGCACUGCCAUAAUCUGGUAAGAUGUAAUAGUAAACCUCAAAUUACAUGACAGAGACAGUCUCUUUUAAAUACUGGAAUAAAUGUCAAUUUUAAUGUGUGUCUUUUUAAUUACUUGUGGUUGUGGUCUGCACAGGGUGCAGCUCCACGCCUGAGCUGAAGAAAUAGUGCAGGAAAUGUAAAGACAUGCAACUUCACAUUUGGGGCUUAAUUUUUUUUUAUUACUUUUUAUUUUUAAAGCAGUGCCCAGUCAACAGAAUAAAAAUAAAAUGACAACAUGCUGGGUUGUGUGUAUGACAUAUUUUUAUUGUCAAAACAAAUUAAUAUAUUAAGCCAAAACAAGUUUUAAGACAUGACAGAAUUACACAGAGGAAUGCACUGAUUUU
Siniperca chuatsi (mandarin fish) is the source of this 1302-nucleotide RNA transcript. It is a transcript of the gene named peroxisomal membrane protein 2, with no coding region annotated. The transcript is spliced from 6 exons. NCBI's taxonomy places the organism in Eukaryota, Metazoa, Chordata, Actinopteri, Centrarchiformes, Sinipercidae. The record is from RefSeq and is a predicted model, not a curated record.